CCUACGGGAGGCAGCAGUGGGGAAUAUUGGACAAUGGGCGCAAGCCUGAUCCAGCCAUACCGCGUGUGUGAAGAAGGCCUUUUGGUUGUAAAGCACUUUAAGCGAGGAGGAGGCUCUUGAGGAUAAUACCCUUGAUGAGUGGACGUUACUCGCAGAAUAAGCACCGGCUAACUCUGUGCCAGCAGCCGCGGUAAUACAGAGGGUGCGAGCGUUAAUCGGAAUUACUGGGCGUAAAGCGCGCGUAGGCGGCUUGUUAAGUCGGAUGUGAAAUCCCCGGGCUCAACCUGGGCACUGCAUUCGAUACUGGCAAGCUAGAGUAUGGGAGAGGAAGGUAGAAUUCCAGGUGUAGCGGUGAAAUGCGUAGAGAUCUGGAGGAAUACCGAUGGCGAAGGCAGCCUUCUGGCCUAAUACUGACGCUGAGGUGCGAAAGCAUGGGGANCGAACAGGAUUAGAUACCCUGGUAGUCCAUGCCGUAAACGAUGUCAACUAGCCGUUGGGGACCUUGAGUCUUUAGNGCGCAGCUAACGCGAUAAGUUGACCGCCUGGGGAGUACGGUCGCAAGCUAAAACUCAAAGGAAUUGACGGCUUGGAGACGNGCGAGCGACACGAGGGAGGAG
This 617-nucleotide ribosomal RNA is filed under the name uncultured bacterium. RNAcentral's name for it is "bacterial SSU rRNA". It matches the Rfam family "Bacterial small subunit ribosomal RNA", at positions 338 to 944 of the family's 1533-position model. The record is from RNAcentral.